Molecule: transfer RNA, 83 nt
Rfam family: tRNA
About the family: Transfer RNA (tRNA) molecules are approximately 80 nucleotides in length. Their secondary structure includes four short double-helical elements and three loops (D, anti-codon, and T loops). Further hydrogen bonds mediate the characteristic L-shaped molecular structure. tRNAs have two regions of fundamental functional importance: the anti-codon, which is responsible for specific mRNA codon recognition, and the 3' end, to which the tRNAs corresponding amino acid is attached (by aminoacyl-tRNA synthetases). tRNAs cope with the degeneracy of the genetic code in two manners: having more than one tRNA (with a specific anti-codon) for a particular amino acid; and 'wobble' base-pairing, i.e. permitting non-standard base-pairing at the 3rd anti-codon position.
Source: Rfam
GGUGCUGUAGUCUAGUGGUUAUGAUAAUUCGUUGUGGUGUCCAACAUUCCGAAUUGGCCCCGGUUCGAUUCCGGGCAGCGCCA